Molecule: ribosomal RNA, 563 nt
Filed under: uncultured Glomeromycotina
Lineage: Eukaryota; Fungi; Glomeromycota
Description: SSU rRNA
Rfam family: Eukaryotic small subunit ribosomal RNA
Source: RNAcentral
UUGGAGGGCAAGUCUGGUGCCAGCAGCCGCGGUAAUUCCAGCUCCAAUAGCGUAUAUUAAAGUUGUUGCAGUUAAAAAGCUCGUAGUUGAAUUUCGGGGUUCUACCGUCGGUCGGGCUACCAAGUCUGUACUGGUGUGUAGAAUUUCUACCUUCUGGGGAACCAUCAUGUUAUUAAUUUAGCGUGGUGGGAAACCAGGACCUUUACCUUGAAAAAAUUAGAGUGUUCAAAGCAGGCUUAUGUCUGAAUACAUUAGCAUGGAAUAAUAGAAUAGGACGGUGGUCCUGUUUUGUUGGUUUCUGAAUCACCGUAAUGAUUAAUAGGGAUAGUUGGGGGCAUUAGUAUUCAAUUGUCAGAGGUGAAAUUCUUGGAUUUAUUGAAGACUAACUUCUGCGAAAGCAUUUGCCAAGGAUGUUUUCAUUAAUCAAGAACGAAAGUUAGGGGAUCGAAGACAAUCAGAUACCGUCGUAGUCUUAACCAUAAACUAUGCCGACUAGGGAUCGGACGAUGUUGAAUUUUAUUGACUCGUUCGGCGCCUUACGGGAAACCAAAGUGUUUGGGUUC